This 429-nucleotide ribosomal RNA is filed under the name Pseudomonadota bacterium. RNAcentral's name for it is "Proteobacteria bacterium partial 16S ribosomal RNA". It matches the Rfam family "Bacterial small subunit ribosomal RNA", at positions 355 to 776 of the family's 1533-position model. The record is from RNAcentral. Lineage: Bacteria; Pseudomonadati; Pseudomonadota.
UGGGGAAUAUUGGACAAUGGGCGAAAGCCUGAUCCAGCCAUGCCGCGUGUGUGAAGAAGGUCUUCGGAUUGUAAAGCACUUUAAGUUGGGAGGAAGGGCAGUAAGCGAAUACCUUGCUGUUUUGACGUUACCGACAGAAUAAGCACCGGCUAACUCUGUGCCAGCAGCCGCGGUAAUACAGAGGGUGCAAGCGUUAAUCGGAAUUACUGGGCGUAAAGCGCGCGUAGGUGGUUCGUUAAGUUGAAUGUGAAAGCCCCGGGCUCAACCUGGGAACUGCAUCCAAAACUGGCGAGCUAGAGUAGGGCAGAGGGUGGUGGAAUUUCCUGUGUAGCGGUGAAAUGCGUAGAUAUAGGAAGGAACACCAGUGGCGAAGGCGACCACCUGGGCUCAUACUGCCACUGAGGUGCGAAAGCGUGGGGAGCAAACAGG